This 254-nucleotide ribosomal RNA is filed under the name uncultured bacterium. RNAcentral describes it as "partial 16S ribosomal RNA". It matches the Rfam family "Bacterial small subunit ribosomal RNA", at positions 524 to 776 of the family's 1533-position model. The record is from RNAcentral.
UACGUAGGGAGCAAGCGUUGUCCGGAAUCAUUGGGCGUAAAGAGCUCGUAGGCGGCUUGGUAAGUCGGAUGUGAAACCUCCAGGCUCAACCUGGAGUCGCCAUCCGAUACUGCCAUAGCUAGAGUCCGGUAGGGGCCCACGGAACUCCUGGUGUAGCGGUGAAAUGCGCAGAUAUCAGGAAGAACACCGGUGGCGAAGGCGGUGGGCUGGGCCGGCACUGACGCUGAGGAGCGAAAGCGUGGGGAGCGAACAGG